CUGGCGGCGUGCCUAAUACAUGCAAGUAGAACGCUGAAGAGAGGAGCUUGCUCUUCUUGGAUGAGUUGCGAACGGGUGAGUAACGCGUAGGUAACCUGCCUGGUAGCGGGGGAUAACUAUUGGAAACGAUAGCUAAUACCGCAUAAAAUGGAUUAUCGCAUGAUAAUCCAUUGAAAGGUGCAAAUGCAUCACUACCAGAUGGACCUGCGUUGUAUUAGCUAGUUGGUGGGGUAACGGCUCACCAAGGCGACGAUACAUAGCCGACCUGAGAGGGUGAUCGGCCACACUGGGACUGAGACACGGCCCAGACUCCUACGGGAGGCAGCAGUAGGGAAUCUUCGGCAAUGGACGGAAGUCUGACCGAGCAACGCCGCGUGAGUGAAGAAGGUUUUCGGAUCGUAAAGCUCUGUUGUAAGAGAAGAACGAGUGUGAGAGUGGAAAGUUCACACUGUGACGGUAUCUUACCAGAAAGGGACGGCUAACUACGUGCCAGCAGCCGCGGUAAUACGUAGGUCCCGAGCGUUGUCCGGAUUUAUUGGGCGUAAAGCGAGCGCAGGCGGUUAGAUAAGUCUGAAGUUAAAGGCUGUGGCUUAACCAUAGUACGCUUUGGAAACUGUUUAACUUGAGUGCAAGAGGGGAGAGUGGAAUUCCAUGUGUAGCGGUGAAAUGCGUAGAUAUAUGGAGGAACACCGGUGGCGAAAGCGGCUCUCUGGCUUGUAACUGACGCUGAGGCUCGAAAGCGUGGGGAGCAAACAGGAUUAGAUACCC
Molecule: ribosomal RNA, 768 nt
Filed under: Streptococcus oralis subsp. tigurinus
Lineage: Bacteria; Bacillati; Bacillota; Bacilli; Lactobacillales; Streptococcaceae
Description: bacterial SSU rRNA
Rfam family: Bacterial small subunit ribosomal RNA
Source: RNAcentral